Long non-coding RNA from Mytilus trossulus (common blue mussel), 193 nucleotides. RefSeq lists it as uncharacterized. Lineage: Eukaryota; Metazoa; Mollusca; Bivalvia; Mytilida; Mytilidae. The record is from RefSeq and is a predicted model, not a curated record. The transcript is spliced from 2 exons.
CGAAUAAACACGGAAACAAAAUCAGCAGAGAUUGUUUAAUAAAUCAAGUGAUUAGUUCGCCCAUUGAAUUUUCAGGAUUUAUUGAAGCAGGAUUUACCCUGGAAGAAUGCAUGCAGCAUUGUGAUGAAUUCCAUCCAGCCGAAUGAAAUCGGGACCUUGCUGUAUUUCAUAAAAUAAAAUAAUCCUACCUGUU